RNAcentral lists this ribosomal RNA (2694 nucleotides) under Triticum aestivum (bread wheat). RNAcentral describes it as "partial small subunit ribosomal RNA". Lineage: Eukaryota; Viridiplantae; Streptophyta; Magnoliopsida; Poales; Poaceae. The record is from RNAcentral.
AUGGCCAGUGUGGGGAAAACAACCCUUGCCAGCCUUGUUUAUGGGGACAAGGAGAUUGGAAAUAGGUUCCAGUCCCGGGCUUUUGUGUCCGUCACUCCAACUCCUAACAUGAAGGAGGUCCUCACAACUAUUCUCCAACAAGUAGGAGCUCAACCACUUACCGACAGUGAAGCAAGGACGGAGGAACAAAUCAUCCAGGCCAUAUCGAAUUUCCUGGAGGACCAAAGGUACCUAGUAAUAGUUGAUGACAUAUGGCAUCGUGAAGAAUGGGACAUCAUCAGGAGGUCUUUUCCAGAAAAUAAUCUUGGCAGUAGAAUCGUCAUCACAACUCGUAUUGCUUCUCUACCAGGAGAUGAUUUGGAUAAUAGCAAGCUCUACAUCAGAAUGAAUCCUAGAUGGAGUUCUGAAAAGGAAAGAUGGUUUUACAGAUAUUAUGAGGAAGAUGAUGCCGCUGCUCGGAUGAAGCCUGACAUGGUUGGACAAGGUUUUGACUGUGACCAUCCUAUUGUGCGCAUGUGUGGUUGUCUGCCGUUAGCGCUACUUUGCAUGUUUUCAGCAAUGGCAAUGGUCCGGGAGCAACAAGAACAACUAGGGGUACAUGUAAAGGCAUGUGAUAUGCAAGAUAUGAUUGAGAAGCAACUUAAGCAAAGUGGAAUUCAGAACACUCCAGGGUUCGAACCGUUGGUACAGAGCUUGCAGCUUGGCUAUGAUGAUCUUCCUCACCAUAUGUUGAAGACCUGCUUGUUGUACUGUAGUGUAUACCCUGAGAAUUACCCUUUUCACAUGAAUGAUUUGGUCAUGAGAUGGGUCGCUGAAGGAUUUAUUUAUAAAGAGGAUACAGGGAAAGGUUAUCUCGAAGAGCUUAGCAACAGGGGAUUUAUGUUUCGUCUGAAGGAUUCAUGGGGCAUGCCCUACUACCAAAUGAACCCGAUGAUGCGGAAUUUCCUUAGAUGGAAAUCACGUGAAGAUAAUUUCAUUAGUUGCAGUUCCGACAUCACACUGCCAUAUGCAUGUCGCAUCCAUCGGCUAUGUAUUGACGAUUAUCUAGUUGAUGGCGGUGAGGUGCAGGUGGUGGAUACCUUGUUGGAACUGGAUUGGUCCCAGAUUCGAUCUCUUGUUGUUUUUGAAGGUGCUAAGAGAUGUGUCCCUUUUGAGAGAUUGGAACGUGUGCGCGUGCUGGAUCUUCAAUAUCACCAUCAAUAUCUUGAUUUUGAAAAGUUACGUUUGAGUUCUUUUGUGGAUUUUGUAUUCAAUGCCCUUGGAAAUCAGCAUGUGAAGGAUAUAUGUGGGCUGCUCUCUAUGAGGCACAUAUUCGGCCUAGAAGGGACAGGAAUCAGUGAGAUACCACCGGAAAUAGCGAGGCUGCAUCAUCUGGAGACUUUGCAGAUAAGAUUUACAUGGAUCACAGAGUUACCCUGUGAGAUUGGAGACCUACAACAGUUGAAGACUCUGGUCGUGAGUUGCAACGCUGAGCUGGAAAAGCUGCCCAGGGAGAUUGGGGGCCUGCAACAUUUAGAGACUCUGGACCUGAGCUUUAGUAGGCUCACGGUGCUGCCACAUGAGAUCGGGAACCUCCAGAAUUUGAAGAAUCUGAACCUGCAUGCCACCGAACUCAAAGAGCUGCCCCAGGAGAUUGGGAAGUUGCAGCAUUUAGAGACCUUGGAGCUGAGCGGCAACAGAGGGCUCACACAGCUGCCUCGUGAGAUGGGCAAACUGCAGAAUUUGAAGCAGAUGCUCUUGUAUAGAACAGGGGUGAUGAAGAUACCAAGGGAAAUUGGAAGGCUAAAGAAUCUGGAGAUUUUGGAACUAGGUGCGACCAUCGGUGCUCUACCAUGGGAAGCUAGUCAGCUUUUGAAAUUCGAAGGAGUGCCGGAGUGCUUUCGCCAAGCCUGGAAAAAUAGUGAUCUUGUGUCUGAGCUAGCUGGGGAGAUCCUGUCCAUUCAAAUGAUUGCUUGGGACGGUGAUAGGGGUGGCAUAAUCAUUGGCAGAAAACACAUGAGAAUUCCAUGGUGGAUCAAGGAUCACUUCAACGACCUUGGUUCCUUGGAUAUCAGGAUAUGCAAACUGGAGGAGCGGGAUCUCAAGAUUCUGCGGGAGAUGCCUAACCUGGAUGACCUCAUGCUAAGGCUGGAGGUCGUCCUGAGAGAUCCCAUAGCCAUCAGCGGUGAAGGGUUCCCAAGGCUCAGGAAACUGGUUGUUGACUGCCGCGUGCCACGAGUUGUCACCUUUCAGGAAGGAGCGAUGCCCUUGGUGAGACAUCUCUACUUGGAGUUCCAGUUCUACGGUGGCCCACCUCCACCUGCAAAUAAGGACCCUCAACUGGGUAUCAAACACCUCCGGAGCCUCUACCGGGUCGAAUUUAAAUGCAGCGGGAAAUGGUAUGAACGAGCAGCAGAGAGGAGCCCGUGCAUGAGUGCCAUGAUUGACGUGGUGAGGAAAGAAGCCCAGGAGCAUCCCAACGAGAUCCUCUUUCGUGUUACUGGCCGCCAAUAUGAGGAAUUUCUAGCGAACAAGAGUGCACAGGCUUCCAGCAGUGGGACAAGCAAGAUCGACGGCACUCCAAAUAGUGGGAGGGGCGAGAUCCAGGAGGAGGAACAGACUUUUCCAGCGAUCAAGGAGAGGGCAGAGGCUUCCAGCAGAGGGACGACUGGCGAGAUGCAGGGGCAGGAGGAGGAGAUUCAGGAAGAAGCGUGA